UGGGAAUUAGAUCUGCAAAGAAGAAGUUAUUUAUAAUGGGUAUUUAGAAUUCUCACACUUCUGUUGGGAUAUUACGGGGUCAUUAGUCGCAUCAAUAUUAUUGAAAUACAAAUGGGGUUGGUCGGUGAUUGUUCCUGGUAUCCUUAUUGCUUUUAGUGGCAUGAUAGUGUUCCUUUUGUUACCCGUUUAUCCGAAAUCCAUUGAAUGCAAUAAAGAUGAAGUGCUAUCUCUAGGAAAAGAAGACGAGGAAGUGAAUGAACCUCUCUCGAGAUCAAACAGAGAAAGAAAUCGGCCGUGGAUUUUAGUGAAGCACGGAGGAUUCCCGAAGUUGUGCCAUCUGGUCUUUGACCUUUUUUUUUUUGGUGGCUUACACAUUUCUCUAAUGUGGUUGUCGUACAACACUAACUGUUCCAUGCUGCAGGAAAGGUCAAAAGUAUGUUGCACUUGGCUGAACUGGUUGAGAAACAUAAUGAUCAAAUUGCAACGUUCGAGACUUGGGACACUGAGAAGCCAUAUGAACAGGCUGUUAAGAUUGGAGUACGCUGGUUGUACAUCCCCGUUAUUAUGCUGGUAAGUAAUAAGUUCAACUAGAAAGAAAGUCUAUCAUCAAUUAUUUCUUCUCCCUGAAAAAAAAUUAUUUCUACAGGCUAGGUAGAUAAAAUUCUUGAUAUGACUAUUCCUGCUGAAGGACCAUAUUGUAUUCAAACGUUGCAUGAACUGAUUGAAUUUGUUGGUUAGAUUAUCUCAUGAAAUUUUCCUCUCCUCGUGUUCUCUUGGAAGAUGAGCCCUACUUUCACUUGUGGCAGAAAUAUCGUGUUAAAAAUGCUGAGCAGACCCCUUUAACUACACUCUAUGUAGAAAAUCUGUUGCAGGAGAUAGCAUCAAAAUUUUCUCUUUUAUUGCCCAAAAGAGUCGUUUUGCACAGUAAGUCAAGUUUCAGUUUUUCUGGUAUCGUAUCUGAGUGAAAGAAUAUGUUUUUUUCUUUUCAAUUUUAGAAAAAAUAUUUCACAACAGUUGAAGUUUUUCAUUGCUUCUUAUCAAACAACAACAUAUUCAGUGUAAUUUGAUGAGUGGUGAUUGGGGA
Molecule: unclassified non-coding RNA, 1084 nt
Filed under: Hevea brasiliensis (rubber tree)
Lineage: Eukaryota; Viridiplantae; Streptophyta; Magnoliopsida; Malpighiales; Euphorbiaceae
Source: RNAcentral